Molecule: ribosomal RNA, 406 nt
Filed under: uncultured bacterium
Lineage: Bacteria
Description: partial 16S ribosomal RNA
Rfam family: Bacterial small subunit ribosomal RNA
Source: RNAcentral
AUUGAACGCUGGCGGCAGGCCUAACACAUGCAAGUCGAACGAGUGGCGGACGGGUGAGUAAUGUCUGGGACACUGCCUGAUGGCGGGGGAUAACUACUGGAAACGGUAGCUAAUACCGCAUACCAUCGGAUGUGCCCAGAUGGGAUUAGCUAGUAGGUUGGGUAACGGCUCACCUAGGCGACGAUCCCUAGCUGGUCUGAGAGGAUGACCAGGCACACUGGAAAUGAGACACGGUCCAGACUCCUACGGGAGGCAGGAGUGGGGAAUAUUGCACAAUGGGAGCAAGCCUGAUGCAGCCAUGACGCGUGUAUGAAGAAGGCCUUCGGGUUGUAAAGUACUUUCAGCGGGGAGGCGUUACCCGCAGAAGAAGCACCGGCUAACUCCGUGCCAGCCGCCGCGGUAAUAC